Molecule: ribosomal RNA, 78 nt
Filed under: Bacillota bacterium
Lineage: Bacteria; Bacillati; Bacillota
Description: Firmicutes bacterium (gut metagenome) partial 23S ribosomal RNA
Rfam family: Bacterial large subunit ribosomal RNA
Source: RNAcentral
GAUCAAGCUACGAAGGGCUCACGGAGGAUGCCUUGGUAUAUGGCGCCGAAGAAGGACGUGGCAAGCUGCGAAAAGCUG